Molecule: ribosomal RNA, 253 nt
Filed under: uncultured bacterium
Lineage: Bacteria
Description: partial 16S ribosomal RNA
Rfam family: Bacterial small subunit ribosomal RNA
Source: RNAcentral
UACGUAGGGUGCGAGCGUUAAUCGGAAUUACUGGGCGUAAAGCGUGCGCAGGCGGCGCCGCAAGUCAGACGUGAAAGCCCCGGGCUUAACUUGGGAACUGCGUUUGAAACUACGGUGCUGGAGUGUGGCAGAGGGAGGUGGAAUUCCACGUGUAGCGGUGAAAUGCGUAGAUAUGUGGAGGAACACCGAUGGCGAAGGCAGCCUCCUGGGCUAACACUGACGCUCAUGCACGAAAGCGUGGGGAGCAAACAGG